Molecule: transfer RNA, 73 nt
Filed under: Camelus bactrianus (Bactrian camel)
Lineage: Eukaryota; Metazoa; Chordata; Mammalia; Artiodactyla; Camelidae
Also listed under: 2 other names
Rfam family: tRNA
About the family: Transfer RNA (tRNA) molecules are approximately 80 nucleotides in length. Their secondary structure includes four short double-helical elements and three loops (D, anti-codon, and T loops).
Source: Rfam by way of RNAcentral
GAGGGUAUAGCUCAAGUGGUAGAGCGCAUGCUUAGCAUGCAUGAGGUCCUGGGUUCAAUCCCCAGGACCUCCU